GCUAUCUUACGAUCGCUACCGGGACGGAUCGAACGCGACCGCGUGAGGUGUAAAUCACUCCCCCACUGAAUUUGGCGACGCACUCAUCGCCAUAUAUCGCUGAAGCAUAGACCUUAUUUUCCAUAAGUCAAUCUCAUUUUCCCACCUUGUGCCAUGACAUUCCCGUGUCAUGCCAAGCUUUAAGUCAUGACCUUGCGAUCCG
Molecule: long non-coding RNA, 202 nt
Filed under: Olea europaea (common olive)
Lineage: Eukaryota; Viridiplantae; Streptophyta; Magnoliopsida; Lamiales; Oleaceae
Description: long non-coding RNA (OEUR_LNC014543)
Source: RNAcentral